RNAcentral lists this ribosomal RNA (380 nucleotides) under uncultured eukaryote. Its description in RNAcentral is "partial 18S ribosomal RNA". It matches the Rfam family "Eukaryotic small subunit ribosomal RNA", at positions 592 to 976 of the family's 1831-position model. The record is from RNAcentral.
CAAUAGCGUAUAUUAAAGUUGUUGCGGUUAAAAAGCUCGUAGUUGGAUUUCUGUUGAGAACGUCCGGUCCGCACUAUGUGCGUGUAUCUGGUUCGGUCUUGGCAUCCUCUUGAGGAACGUAUCUGCGCUUGAUUGCGUGGAGCGGUAUUCAAGACUUUUACUUUGAGGAAAUUAGAGUGUUCACGGCAGGCAAGCGCCUUGAAUACGUUAGCAUGGAAUAAUAAUAUAGGAUCUUGGUUCUAUUUUGUUGGUUUCUAGGGCUAAGGUAAUGAUUAAUAGGGAUAAUUGGGGGCAUUUGUAUUAACGCGUCAGAGGUGGAAUUCUUGGAUUGCGUUACGACAAACUACUGCGAAAGCAUUUGCCAAGGAUGUUUUCAUUGG